Molecule: unclassified non-coding RNA, 291 nt
Filed under: fungal sp.
Lineage: Eukaryota; Fungi
Description: partial internal transcribed spacer region
Rfam family: Eukaryotic small subunit ribosomal RNA (bases 1-46)
Source: RNAcentral
AAGUCGUAACAAGGUUUCCGUAGGUGAACCUGCGGAAGGAUCAUUAACACGUAUCCAACGUUAAACAACCCUGUGAACCUUGAACGUGCUCCUGCAGCCCCAUGAAAUCAGCAAUCCCUGGUAAAUCAUUGUUGACCAGCUUUUGAGUCAGGCCGAAACGGCUGUUCAGUACCGAGCGCGGUGUCCCAGGGCUCACGCCCCUUUAUCACCCCACAGUUUCCGACUGGGCAGCCGAUAAUACGGACGCCGUAAAAAACUGAACAACUGUUAACAAUGGAUAUCUUGGUUCUC